Heterocephalus glaber (naked mole-rat) is the source of this 1372-nucleotide long non-coding RNA. RefSeq lists it as uncharacterized. NCBI's taxonomy places the organism in Eukaryota, Metazoa, Chordata, Mammalia, Rodentia, Bathyergidae. The record is from RefSeq and is a predicted model, not a curated record.
CCCUAGUCGGGGACUCGAGUCCGAUGCUUGGCUUGAGUCCUCGCCGGUAAUAAACUCCUGUGUGGAUUUAAUGUCGGUCUCUGGUUGGUUCUCUCUCACUGGGUGCAACAUUCUUGGAGGCCCCAGAGAGAUGGCCAGCUGCUCUGGAGCUUAUUCUCUUGGAGCCUUUGUUUCUUUUUAGGAGAGACCAGGAUCAGACAUCAGCGGUGUUUGGCCCCUCUGGACACCAGUCUGCGGAAAGAGAGGCCACCCUGACGGUAUUCCAGGGCUCUGGGUAGACCAGUCCCAGUCCGGCCCUAUCGCUGAUCAACCAACCCGCAGGAGUAUAUCGGGAAAGCCUCUAGAGUCCAGAAACCAGGCACAGAUGACUUCUGACCAGUCCAGGACUUGAGAGAAGUCAAUAAGAGAGUGGAAACCAUUCACCCCAUGGUCCCAAAUCCUUACACAUUGCUGAGCUUAAUUCCCCCAGAGAGACAGGUCUACACCGUUCUGGAUCUCAAGGAUGCCUUCUUCAGUAUCCCAUUGGCUAAGACUCUGACCUGUGCAAGCCCCUCCAUGACUGUCUGGACACUCUGACAACUUCUACCACCAACCGCCCAGACCUGACUGACAUUCCCCUGCAAAGCCCAGAUGAGACCUUCUUCACCGAUGGAAGCAGCUUCGUUGAAGAUGGAGUCAGGACUGACCUCUAUGGUCCAGGACAUCAGUUCCAGAUGUCAAGUGUGUGCACAGGUAAACUCCAAGUCUCUUCAAGCCUUACAGAUUCUUCAGAGUGAGAUCCAGGCUACAAUACAAUAAGCUCAAGAAAAAUCCUUUAUGACAUUCCAGUCCCAUGGUUUCAAGCCAGGAGACCUGGUCCUAAUAUGCCGACAUCAGACUAAGAACCUUGAGCCACGUUGGAAGGGGCCAUACCCUGUUAUUUUGGUAACCCCCUCCAUGGUCAAAGUAGCCGGGGUCACAGCUUGGAUUCGUGACACCCAAGUCAAGUCAGCACCAGCAGAGAGCCCAGAGCCAGCACAAUGGAAGAUCCUAAGUGCCCCAGGAGACUUAAAGUUAAAAUUGGGAAAAGAAGACUAGUGCUCCUGGUAUAUAUUCUCUAUCAAUCAUGUCAGCUUGGGGGAACAAAUAACUUGUUCCUUCCCUGUUCAGAAACUUGGGAAUUAAGACUAACUUCUAGUGGGAAAAUCCUGGCAAAAAUAGAAAGAGGACCCGACCAAUCCGAGGUCACCUUUACUGCUAGCUUAUGUCAUAUGGUUGAGGAGGCCUCGUAUUAUGGGAACAGGGGCUGUGCAAAAUCUGGAUGCUGUACUCUCACUAAAUGGGGACUCCAUCCUGUCCAAUAUUAUGUAUAUCCAGAAAAUGAAGAUGCAUA